GCAGUGGUGGUUCAGUGGUAGAACUCUUACCUUCCGGAAGAUCUGGGUUCAAUUUCUAGCCAGUGCA
This 67-nucleotide transfer RNA is filed under the name Loxodonta africana (African savanna elephant). It matches the Rfam family "tRNA". From Rfam's summary of the family: Transfer RNA (tRNA) molecules are approximately 80 nucleotides in length. Their secondary structure includes four short double-helical elements and three loops (D, anti-codon, and T loops). Further hydrogen bonds mediate the characteristic L-shaped molecular structure. tRNAs have two regions of fundamental functional importance: the anti-codon, which is responsible for specific mRNA codon recognition, and the 3' end, to which the tRNAs corresponding amino acid is attached (by aminoacyl-tRNA synthetases). tRNAs cope with the degeneracy of the genetic code in two manners: having more than one tRNA (with a specific anti-codon) for a particular amino acid; and 'wobble' base-pairing, i.e. permitting non-standard base-pairing at the 3rd anti-codon position. Lineage: Eukaryota; Metazoa; Chordata; Mammalia; Proboscidea; Elephantidae. The record is from Rfam by way of RNAcentral.